CCCCCUCUGCUUUGUCGAAGCCCUGCGAACCUCGCGGGGUAUGUGUAGGCAAAGUGGAGGGGA
The submitters of this non-coding RNA (63 nucleotides) gave its source as unclassified sequences. The record is from Rfam.